RNAcentral lists this ribosomal RNA (262 nucleotides) under uncultured bacterium. RNAcentral's name for it is "partial 16S ribosomal RNA". It matches the Rfam family "Bacterial small subunit ribosomal RNA", at positions 92 to 353 of the family's 1533-position model. The record is from RNAcentral.
CGACCGGCGGACGGGUGCGUAACGCGUAUGCAACCUGCCUGACACAGGGGGAUAAUCCGAAGAAAUUUGGUCUAAUACCCCAUAAUACCGAUAUAGGCAUCUAUGUUGGUUGAAAGCUUUGGUGGUGUCAGAUGGGCAUGCGUUGUAUUAGCUAGUUGGUGAGGUAACGGCUCACCAAGGCGACGAUACAUAGGGGGACUGAGAGGUUAACCCCCCACACUGGUACUGAGACACGGACCAGACUCCUACGGGAGGCAGCAUG